GCAAGCCCGCAGGGACCCCCACGUCCUAGAGAGAACUGCACCGAGGGUACAGACCCAAGAGGCUACAACACACGGGACGGCACCCACCCCUAACAAAGAGCCAUGCAGCUCAAAAGGUCAGCAGUGCUGAGGCUGAGGAACCCUGUCCUGGAUCGCCCACUCAUAAAGUCAAAAACAAUAACACAUGCCGAAUUUCUCAUCUUGCUCACCUCCUGGGGGGAGAUGGGAAGGGACCCACGUGGAGAGACACAUCACAGCCUAGAUGUCUACUGGGGCACCAUCCCCGUGAGGCCAGACGCACGUUAGCUGCUGGAGGAUUCCUGCUCUGCCUGACUCAGAGUGCUCCCCGCUUGGCUUGGACAGUGUCCGAGGCACCCAGGAAGAGGCCAGGGCUGUGGGGGGAGGGGGAACACUGGGGCACUGGGAGCCACAGCUCUUAGCAACAAUCCAGAGAUGUUCAGUCAUUGCAACUGCUCUGGUACAGACCCCCGAGCAUCACCAUCGACCACUCCUGGCGUCAACAAAACAUUCACCUUUGAGACUUGCUGGCUCCAGGCAUGACAAGAAAGAUUUUGUUAUCUCUAUUUUGUAAAAGAACGGGCCCAUUCAAGUAGGCAAGCCUUGACACUGUGCUCACUCCUUACGCAUUUUCCUACCCAAUACCAUAGUUUAAAAUUUUUAUAUUAUUUUCUUUGAAGUUUUAUUAAUUAUAGUUGAUUUACAAUGUUGUGAUAUCUGUUGCUGAACAACAAAGUGAUUCAGUUAUACAUAUACCCAUAUCCAUUUUUUUUCCGAUUCUUCUCCCAUAUAGUUUAUUACAGAAUAUUGGACGGAGUUCUCUCAAUGUUUUUUUUUAAGUGGAAGUGUAGUUAAUUGGCAAUGCUGUGUUAAUUUCAAGUGUGCAGUUUAAAUAUUUUAAAGAAUGAUGACACAAAAGAAAUUAUUUCUGAAUGUGUUUCAAAGAUCUUAAAGUUCUCGUUUACCUACAAAGAUACAUUUAACUUUUCUAAGAAGUAAUGCCUCUGGUCAUGACUUAAUGCACAGAAAAUUUAGUCAUAUUUACUAACUUAGAAAUUACUAAAUUGGCUAAUAGUUAAUUACUGUAAUCAACCAACUAGACAUCGACCAACCUACCAUUAACCUUAUUGCUUUUGGCUGAACAUUUUUAAAACAUUAAUAUUAGGGAAUUCCCAUUGUGGCUCAGCAGUAACAAACCCAACUAGUAUCCAUGAGGACAUGGGUCUGAUCUCUGGCCUCGCUCAGUGAGUUAAGGAUCCAGCAUUGCUGUGAGCUGCGGUGUAGGUCGCAGACGUGGCUCAGAUCCCCAGUUGCUGUGGCUGUGGCAUAGGCCAGCAGCUGUAGCUCCAAUUCGACCCCUAGCCUGGGAACUUUUUAGGGUGUGGCCCUACAAAGACAUAAAUAAAUAAAUAAAUAUUCAUCCUAGGCUAUUAAUU
Molecule: long non-coding RNA, 1454 nt
Filed under: Sus scrofa (pig)
Lineage: Eukaryota; Metazoa; Chordata; Mammalia; Artiodactyla; Suidae
Description: lncRNA (ENSSSCG00060055617.1)
Source: RNAcentral